This 24-nucleotide non-coding RNA is filed under the name Arabidopsis thaliana (thale cress). Lineage: Eukaryota; Viridiplantae; Streptophyta; Magnoliopsida; Brassicales; Brassicaceae. The record is from RNAcentral.
ACGCUAUCUAAUGAGACAAUAGCG